CGGAGGGGAAGUACUGGAUUCAGUAUUGCAGAGAAAUUUGUAAUAUUGAAUAAUGUAAGGGAGGAUAAUGACGUUACCUUACGAUAAGUGUCGUCUAAACACUGGUGCCAGAAGACUCGGUAAUACCAGAGACGCAAACGUUAGUCAUCUUAAAUGGGCGUAAAGGGUUAGUAGGCAGCUUAUUCAAUGGAAACAUUGAUAUAAUAAGCUAGAAUCAAACAGAGGAAAUCGGAGAAUGCUUAGAGGAGUGUUGAUAUACUUAGAUCCUAAGUGGAAUACUAGUGGCGAAGGCUCCUUUCCAAUAAUGAUUGACGCUGAGGAACGAAGGUGUAGAUAGGAAAUAGGAUUAGAUACCCAGUUACCCUACACUGUAAACGAUGAAUGGUAAGAUAUCUGUAUAUUUAAAUAUAGGUUCUGAUGCUAAGAGCGAUAACCAUUCCGCCUUGUAAGUAUACUCGCAAGAGUGAAAAUAAAAAAAUUAGUCGGUCUGACAGCC
RNAcentral lists this ribosomal RNA (496 nucleotides) under Steccherinum ochraceum. RNAcentral describes it as "SSU rRNA". It matches the Rfam family "Bacterial small subunit ribosomal RNA", at positions 405 to 926 of the family's 1533-position model. The record is from RNAcentral. Lineage: Eukaryota; Fungi; Basidiomycota; Agaricomycetes; Polyporales; Steccherinaceae.